This 281-nucleotide ribosomal RNA is filed under the name uncultured Staphylococcus sp. Its description in RNAcentral is "partial 16S ribosomal RNA". It matches the Rfam family "Bacterial small subunit ribosomal RNA", at positions 81 to 355 of the family's 1533-position model. The record is from RNAcentral. Lineage: Bacteria; Bacillati; Bacillota; Bacilli; Caryophanales; Staphylococcaceae.
CUCCUUUGACGUUAGCGGCGGACGGGUGAGUAACACGUGGGUAACCUACCUAUAAGACUGGGAUAACUUCGGGAAACCGGAGCUAAUACCGGAUAAUAUUUCGAACCGCAUGGUUCGAUAGUGAAAGGUGGUUUUGCUAUCACUUAUAGAUGGACCCGCGCCGUAUUAGCUAGUUGGUAAGGUAACGGCUUACCAAGGCGACGAUACGUAGCCGACCUGAGAGGGUGAUCGGCCACACUGGAACUGAGACACGGUCCAGACUCCUACGGGAGGCAGCAGUC